Molecule: ribosomal RNA, 205 nt
Filed under: uncultured Atopobium sp.
Lineage: Bacteria; Bacillati; Actinomycetota; Coriobacteriia; Coriobacteriales; Atopobiaceae
Description: partial 16S ribosomal RNA
Rfam family: Bacterial small subunit ribosomal RNA
Source: RNAcentral
UCGGAACGAGGUUAAUACCGGAUACUCCAUAUUUGUCGCAUGGCGAAUAUGGGAAAGCUCCGGCGGCAAAGGAUGGGCCCGCGGCCUGUUAGCUAGUUGGUGGGGGUAGUGGCCUACCAAGGCAAUGAUGGGUAGCCGGGUUGAGAGACCGACCGGCCAGAUUGGGACUGAGACACGGCCCAGACUCCUACGGGAGGCAGCAGCU